AAACUUUUUCUUUGAAGGCAGGUGAUAUCAGACUUCUACCUCGGAUGGUUAAAAAGUUAUGGCUGGUAAUUCAGAUCUAUUCAGGGAAUGAAUGGGACUUCUACUACGUACAUCGGUGUGUCUGGUAAAAGACUCAGAGUGAGACAUCCUGUGGCUGGUGGACGAUCUGUGGACGGGUCCUCUCUCCCUCACAUUCUGCCUGGAAACAAAACAGCUGAGAGGAGAUCAGUUUGACCUGAAAACACCUGGAAACAUCUGGAAACAUCUGGAGCGUUUCAACCAGAGGGUCUGAGGUUUAGAGAAAAAGCACCAGCUGUGACUUCCUGUGAUGGGCGGAGAGCAGAGCUGCGAGGAGAAGACCGAGGAGAGAGAAGACGAGGAUGAAAAUCAUCACGAGUCCGACGACGCCUCUGAAGGAGAGCUGCCCCAGUGCAGGAUGGGAAACAGGAAGGUGGACGACAUGUGUUUCAUGAUCUCCUGCACUAACUGGUACUGAACUGGUUCUGGUGCAGCAGCUCGACCACUGAAGAACGAGUCCCUUGUACAAGCUGUAUUAUGUGAUUCUUUAAAUAAAGUCCUGCAGCGUUGAUGACGAGUUGGAAGAACAGACGAUGGCUCCAGGUCCAAACACCUCCGGGGAAACAGAUGAAUCCACUUUUCUAUUGUUUCUUUCCCUGAAACAAAGGUGUAACAGAUGUGAGCUCUGCCGUAUGAACUGUGUUUCUUCAGUAAAACUACUGGAACCAAAGAAGAGUGUAUUAAAUCACAUAUUCUAUAAACUCACAGGAACAGCUCUGUAAAGAUAGAA
Hippoglossus stenolepis (Pacific halibut) is the source of this 808-nucleotide long non-coding RNA. RefSeq lists it as uncharacterized. Lineage: Eukaryota; Metazoa; Chordata; Actinopteri; Pleuronectiformes; Pleuronectidae. The record is from RefSeq and is a predicted model, not a curated record. The transcript has 4 exons.